Molecule: long non-coding RNA, 3007 nt
Filed under: Sus scrofa (pig)
Lineage: Eukaryota; Metazoa; Chordata; Mammalia; Artiodactyla; Suidae
Description: lncRNA (ENSSSCG00060047045.1)
Source: RNAcentral
UGUCUGUCAGAGGGUUGCCUUUAUUAAUCCUAGUAAUCCUCUUGCAGAAUUUUUGCUUCCUGUCCCCGAAACUUUAAGCCCCGCUGGCUUGGCGAUCUUAGUUCCCAAGGAAGGAAUGUUUGCACUAUUUGGAAGAUAAGACUACCACCUGGACAUUCUGGGCUCUUAUGCUAGUGAACCACUGGGGGGGGUGGGCAGUGGGGGAGCAGGAGAGGGGAGUGUAAUCUGUCUGAGUGACUGACCCUGAUGAUCAGAGAGAAAGGGUGCUGGCUUCCACACGAUGGAGGCGAAAUGAACCAUGUCCAACAGCAAAGGUUAAUGGAAAACUAUAGCACCCAGGGGGAGGGAGGGGAAGAUGAUUAAAAAGCCAGGCUCUCAGGGACUGAAGAUUUGGGCCACUGUACCAGGUAAAGAACCCUGAAUAGCUGUGGUUUGAGCUAAGGGCAGAGAAAACACGGAGGGAUAGUGGAAGAAGCUUCACACAGCUUCAAUCGCAAUGUGAUGACCAGGUACAGAAGUGAGGACUCUUUUUUUUUUUUCAGGGCUGCACCUGGCAUAUGGAGGUUCCAGGCCAGGGGUCGAAUCAGAGCUAUAGCUGCCGGCCUAUGCCACAGCCAGAGCAACACGGGAACCAAGCCAUAUCUGUGACCUACACCGCAUCUUAUGGUAACGCCGGAUCCUUAACCCACCAAGCGAGGCCAGGGAUCAAACCUGCAUCCUCAUGGAUACUAGUUGGGUUUGUUUCUGCUGUACUACGAUGGAACUCCCAGAAGUGAGGACUCUUUAAGUUGCUUUGCUCAUUUUCUAUUUGCCUGUUAUGUGUACACAACAAUUUGUAAAUGUUUUUUUUUCUUCCUGCUUUUAAGUUAACUUGCUGGAAGUUUACAACCUAGUUUUUAAGUUGUAAGAUUCAGUGAGACUAACUGGAUCUCAAGAGUAAUAUAUAAAACUGUCAAUGGAGGCAUGACUCUUGGGACUGUGCAUCUCAUUUUGAAAAAGGUUGAAAACUGUUCUCUUGCAGGAAGGGCAACUGUUCUUUUUUGUCUUUUUUACUGUGGUUGUUGCAGCUGAGUCAUCAAAAGGGGGCUGGGCAGGUUAUCAAUUUAGUGCCCUCAGCUCCAAAUUCACUGGCACCCUUCUUGCCUGUUCUGUGAAAAUGGCUUUGAGCCCGUUAGACUUUUCCUUUUCAGCUACAUUGAAGCUUUGCUAGAAAACAGUAGUGGAGACAAACCACAGAAGACAGGGCUUUGCUUCCCGGUUCCUGUGUGCUCCCUUAAAAGCACUGAGUGCAGCUUCUUCAGCAUCAGGCUCCUGCUGUGCUCGAAGAUUCUCCACCAAUUCCCGGUUAUUCCAGUCCUCUUAUAGUUAUUAACUGCUAAAAUCAAACUUUUCCUGAUCAGAUUAUUUGUAUAGGUUUUCUCUUUUUGUCUUUUUAGGGCUCCACCCACAGCAUAUGGAAGUUCCCAGGCUAGGGGUCGAUCCGGAGCUGCAGCUGCUGACCUACGCCACAGUCACAGCAAUGUGGGGUCCAAGCCACGUCUGCGACCUAUACCACAGCUCACAGUAACGCUGGAUCCUUAAGCCACUGAGCUAGGCCAGGGAUUGAACCCAAAUCCAGUUCCUCUCUCUUGAUUGGACCUGGAUUAAGCUGGUACUAGGCUGGACUAGACAGUGGCAGAGAAUGAAAAGCAGCAGGAAGAUUUACUCAGAAAGUAAAAGACAGGCCUCAGUAACAGAUUAGACAAAGGGAAGUGGUGCGGGUAGGGUGACCCUAGAAAAAUAUCCAGCUUAUUUUAGGUGUACUCGCAGCAGGUGGAAGUUCCUGAGCCAAGGAUCAAUUCUAAACCAGAGCUGCAGCCAGUGCAGGAUCCUUAACCCACUGCACCUCCAGAGACAAGCUGGGUCAUUAACCCGCUCAUCGCAGCAAGAACUCCCAAGGAAUCCCAAGUUUUAACGCCUGGACAGAAGAAGAUGAGCCUGCAGAGGAAAUGCUGAAGCUGAUAAGAGGCAGAGGAAAAGAAGGAUGAACACGGGGCCCUCCAUAGCUGCAGGUUCUGUAUCUGCAGAGUCAACCAGCCUAGGCUCGAAAAUAUGCAGGAAAAAAAAAUUCCAGGAAAUUCCAAAAAGCAACACUUGAAUUUAUCACAUGACUGGAAACUAUUUAAUUUACAUUAUACUAGGCAUGAUAACCUAGAGAUGAUUUAAAGUAGAUAUGUGUAGGUUAUGCGCCAUCACUAGACCAUUUUAUACAGGGGACUUGAGCAUCCUCAGAAUUUGGUGUCCGCAGGGUCCUAGAACAACUAGGAUACCUAGGGACCACUGUACUGCAUCCCAGAAGCAAAGGGUGGCAGCCAGGGAUGCAUGGUUCCUUCCUCCCCUUAAGAGAACUUGCUGCAGUUGACUGACUUCCACCAAUGGCCAUGUCCUCAGACCUGCCACAGUGCCCAGCCCAAGGCCAUACUCCCCUCGAGGCAGCUCCUAAUCGAUGACUGAGCUUGUCCAAAACCACAUGUGCUAGAACCUUCUGACAGGCAACCUUUGCUCCGGGCUCCCCACUGGCCCAGCUGAGAUGUUCUCUGAGUUGCACACAGUCAGAGGCUCUUCUCACACACCCCUGCACUGCAGGCUGAAACCACCCACCUCCUGACUCCAGUUAAGCCCAGCAAUAAUUUCUCUUUUAGUCAGAGACUUUAUGACUUAGAGACAACUGCUUCCUAACCGCUGAGAGGAAGAGACAACCAUAACAUUCACCAGACAACAGACUAUAGGGUAGACAGUCUGUGAGGAGUUUUCUGAAAAAGUCCACUCCUAGAGUUGCCAUUAUGGCCCAGUAGUAACAAACACAACUAGUAUCGAUGAGGACUCAGGUUCGAUCCCUGGCCCCUCGCUCAGUGGGUUGAGGAUCCGACAUUGCCAUGAGCUAUGACACAGGCCAGCAGCUGCGGCUCCAAUUCAAUCCUGGGAACUUCCAUGGCUCAACUGUGGCCCUAAAAAAAAAAAAAAAAAA